AAAGUCUGAAUAUAAUUUCUCUAAGCUGCAAUUUAUAAUGCUAACGUUUUACCAUUUUACCCCCCUCAUUAAGGAGAGGAAGAAAGCUUCUAAGCCACUCUAUUGAGCUGUUGAAAAACGUCUUACAUUGAAAUUCCGAUUUAGAGAUAGGCACAAUCCAUCUGCUUUGCAUACCUUUGCCCUUUAAACCAGUAUUUGUGAUAUAAAGAAGCACACAGCUUGCAGAGUAGCUGAAAUGUGUAAUUCCAUUUUUUAUCCAGGAGAACACCAUGAACAGUUUAAAGGGGCAGAAGUGCAGCAGUUUGGCUGAGCUAUUCCACAAGCUUCCUACAGUUUACCUACAUUUCUCCUGGCAGAGCAUGAGCUUCCUGUGAGAAGGAAAACCUCACCAAUAAUUACAAAGUGUGGGAAUAUUUGUGUUUGCUCUUGGUGAUGAUGGCUGUGACACCCAGCCCGUCCUCAGUGCUGCGACAGCAAGGGAAGGAGCUGGAAUGCAAGAAACAACUCCCAGUGAUACCCACAGGUAAAAAUUAUGA
Lonchura striata (white-rumped munia) is the source of this 536-nucleotide non-coding RNA. The record is from RefSeq and is a predicted model, not a curated record. Lineage: Eukaryota; Metazoa; Chordata; Aves; Passeriformes; Estrildidae.